Molecule: ribosomal RNA, 440 nt
Filed under: uncultured bacterium
Lineage: Bacteria
Description: partial 16S ribosomal RNA
Rfam family: Bacterial small subunit ribosomal RNA
Source: RNAcentral
CCUACGGGAGGCAGCAGUAGGGAAUAUUGCUCAAUGGGGGAAACCCUGAAGCAGCAACGCCGCGUGGAGGAUGAAGGUUUUCGGAUUGUAAACUCCUUUUGUUAGAGAAGAUAAUGACGGUAUCUAACGAAUAAGCACCGUCUAACUCCGUGCCAGCAGCCGCGGUAAUACGGAGGAUGCAAGCGUUACUCGGAAUCACUGGGCGUAAAGAGCGCGUAGGCGGGAUAGCAAGUCAGAUGUGAAAUCCUAUGGCUUAACCAUAGAACUGCAUUUGAAACUGUUAUUCUAGAGUAUGGGAGAGGUAGGUGGAAUGCUUGGUGUAGGGGUAAAAUGCGUAGAGAUCAAGAAGAAUACUCAUUGCGAAGGCGGCCUGCUAGGACAUGACUGACGCUGAUGCGCGAAAGCGUGGGGAGCAAACAGGAUUAGAUACCCGGGUAGUC